RNAcentral lists this small nuclear RNA (106 nucleotides) under Tupaia belangeri chinensis (Chinese tree shrew). The record is from RNAcentral. Lineage: Eukaryota; Metazoa; Chordata; Mammalia; Scandentia; Tupaiidae.
GUGCUUGCUUUGGCAGCACAUAUACUAAAUUGGAAUGAUAACAGAGAAGAUUAGCAUGGCCCCUGUAAAGUAUGACAUGCAAAUUCAUGAAGUGUUUCAUAUUUUU